AGUCCCCUAGUGUAGUGGCCAAUCAUGUCGGGUUCUGGCCCCGGCGACCGCGGUUCGAAUCCGCGGGGGACUA
RNAcentral lists this transfer RNA (73 nucleotides) under Candidatus Woesearchaeota archaeon. RNAcentral's name for it is "tRNA-Gln". It matches the Rfam family "tRNA". From Rfam's summary of the family: Transfer RNA (tRNA) molecules are approximately 80 nucleotides in length. Their secondary structure includes four short double-helical elements and three loops (D, anti-codon, and T loops). Further hydrogen bonds mediate the characteristic L-shaped molecular structure. tRNAs have two regions of fundamental functional importance: the anti-codon, which is responsible for specific mRNA codon recognition, and the 3' end, to which the tRNAs corresponding amino acid is attached (by aminoacyl-tRNA synthetases). tRNAs cope with the degeneracy of the genetic code in two manners: having more than one tRNA (with a specific anti-codon) for a particular amino acid; and 'wobble' base-pairing, i.e. permitting non-standard base-pairing at the 3rd anti-codon position. The record is from RNAcentral. Lineage: Archaea; Nanobdellati; Candidatus Woesearchaeota.